RNAcentral lists this ribosomal RNA (789 nucleotides) under uncultured bacterium. RNAcentral describes it as "bacterial SSU rRNA". It matches the Rfam family "Bacterial small subunit ribosomal RNA", at positions 11 to 808 of the family's 1533-position model. The record is from RNAcentral.
GUUUGAUCAUGGUUCAGGAUGAACGACUAGCGGCAGGCUUAAUACAUGCAAGUCGGAACGCCCAGCAAAUGGGAGGGGCGCACGGGUGCGUAACGCGUAUGUAACUUACCUUAUUGAGGGGGAUAGCCGGGAGAAAUUCGGAUUAAUACCGCAUAAGAUGGAAGACUGGCAUCAGUUUUUCAUGAAAGAUUUAUUGCGGAUAAGAUGGACAUGCGUCUGAUUAGUUAGUUGGUGAGGUAACGGCUCACCAAGACGAUGAUCAGUAGGGGUUCUGAGAGGAAGGUCCCCCACACUGGCACUGAGAUACGGGCCAGACUCCUACGGGAGGCAGCAGUAGGGAAUAUUGGGCAAUGGAGGGAACUCUGACCCAGCCAUGCCGCGUGCAGGACGAAGGAGCUAUGCUCUGUAAACUGCUUUAGCAGGGGAAGAAAAGGCGUCUGCGGACGAGAUUGACGGUACCCUGAGAAUAAGCACCGGCUAACUACGUGCCAGCAGCCGCGGUAAUACGUAGGGUGCAAGCGUUGUCCGGAUUUAUUGGGUUUAAAGGGUGCGUAGGCGGCUUUAUAAGUCAGUGUUUAAAGCACAUAGCUCAACUAUGGAACUGGCAUUGAUACUGUAGAGCUUGAGUAGAAACGGGGCAGGCGGAAUUUAUGGUGUAGCGGUGAAAUGCAUAGAUACCAUAAAGAACACCGAUAGCGAAGGCAGCUUGCCAGGAUCUAACUGACGCUGAGGCACGAAAGCGUGGGGAUCAAACAGGAUUAGAUACCCUGGUAGUCCACGCCGUAAACG